RNAcentral lists this non-coding RNA (891 nucleotides) under Malacanthus brevirostris (quakerfish). Its description in RNAcentral is "partial 12S rRNA". It matches the Rfam family "Bacterial small subunit ribosomal RNA", at positions 194 to 1533 of the family's 1533-position model. Lineage: Eukaryota; Metazoa; Chordata; Actinopteri; Malacanthidae. The record is from RNAcentral.
CCCCCUGUGAAAAUGCCCCAACAGUCACCUGCCCGGAGACAAGGAGCUGGUAUCAGGCACACAUUAUGAAAGCCCACGACACCUUGCUCAGCCACACCCCCAAGGGUAAUCAGCAGUGAUAAACAUUAAGCCAUGAGUGAAAACUUGACUUAGUUAGUGCUAAGAGGGUUGGUAAAUCUCGUGCCAGCCACCGCGGUUAUACGAGGAACCCUAGUUGUUAGAACACGGCGUAAAGCGUGGUUAAGAUGCCCAACGAACUAAAGCCGAACACUUACAAAGCUGUCAUACGCAUCCGAAAGUGAGAAGCCCACCAACGAAAGUGGCUUUAUACCAUUUGAACCCACGUAAGCUAAGACACAAACUGGGAUUAGAUACCCCACUAUGCUUAGUCGUAAACAUAGACAGCAUGCUACACCCGCUGUCCGCCCGGGAACUACGAGCAACAGCUUAAAACCCAAAGGACUUGGCGGUGCUUUAGAACCAACUAGAGGAGCCUGUUCUAGAACCGAUAAUCCCCGUUAAACCUCACCCUCUCUUGUUCCUCCAGCCUAUAUACCGCCGUCGAAAGCUUACUCCGUGAGGGUUACAAUUGUGAGCUCAAUUGGUCACAGCCCAACACGUCAGGUCGAGGUGUAGCCUAUGGGAGGGGAAGAAAUGGGCUACAUUCUCUGACAUAGAGAACACGGAUGGUCACAAUGAAACUUGUACCUGAAGGUGGAUUUAGUAGUAAGCCGGAAAUAGAGUGUCCUGCUGAAGCCGGCUCUGAAGCGCGUACACACCGCCCGUCACUCUCCCCAAGCUACCCAUAUUAAUUAACUAAAAAUACAAAACUGCAAAGGGGAGGCAAGUCGUAACAAGGUAAGUGUACCGGAAGGUGCACUUGGACUAAAU